RNAcentral lists this ribosomal RNA (233 nucleotides) under uncultured Actinomycetales bacterium. RNAcentral describes it as "partial 16S ribosomal RNA". It matches the Rfam family "Bacterial small subunit ribosomal RNA", at positions 97 to 334 of the family's 1533-position model. The record is from RNAcentral. Lineage: Bacteria; Bacillati; Actinomycetota; Actinomycetes; Actinomycetales.
GGCGAACGGGUGAGCAACACGUGGGUGAUCUGCCCUGCACUCUGGGAUAAGCCUGGGAAACUGGGUCUAAUACCGGAUAGGACCAUGCUUUAGUGUGUGUGGUGGAAAGUUUUUCGGUGUAGGAUGAGCCCGCGGCCUAUCAGCUUGUUGGUGGGGUAAUGGCCUACCAAGGCGGCGACGGGUAGCCGGACUGAGAGGUUGGUCGGCCACAUUGGGACUGAGAUACGGCCCAG